Molecule: ribosomal RNA, 445 nt
Filed under: uncultured organism
Description: partial 16S ribosomal RNA
Rfam family: Bacterial small subunit ribosomal RNA
Source: RNAcentral
ACUCCUGCGGGAGGCAGCAGUGGGGAAUAUUGGACAAUGGGCGCAAGCCUGAUCCAGCCAUGCCGCGUGAGUGAUGAAGGCCCUAGGGUUGUAAAGCUCUUUCACCGGUGAAGAUAAUGACGGUAACCGGAGAAGAAGCCCCGGCUAACUUCGUGCCAGCAGCCGCGGUAAUACGAAGGGGGCUAGCGUUGUUCGGAUUUACUGGGCGUAAAGCGCACGUAGGCGGACUAUUAAGUCAGGGGUGAAAUCCCGGGGCUCAACCCCGGAACUGCCUUUGAUACUGGUAGUCUUGAGUUCGAGAGAGGUGAGUGGAAUUCCGAGUGUAGAGGUGAAAUUCGUAGAUAUUCGGAGGAACACCAGUGGCGAAGGCGGCUCACUGGCUCGAUACUGACGCUGAGGUGCGAAAGCGUGGGGAGCAAACAGGAUUAGAAACCCGAGUAGUCCC